CAGAUUAUAAAUGUGCUGCAGUUAAUGUUGUGUUUACUACCGAAUUAAUGUGUGUCUAAAUAUUAAAUUAAUGUGCAGCAGAGACAUGUAUUAAAGGGGCUGUUCAAGUGUCUUGUUGUUGAUUUCUAGUCCAGCCGAAAUUAAAAGAGCAAUUUAAUGUGCAGGUACACUCCCUUGGACGGCAUUAAAGGAGGCAUGCUGGCCGAAUUUAAUGUACAGUAAAGACAUGUAUUAAAGGGGUUGUUCCACAUGCAAGGGACGUCCAUUUAAUGAGCUUCUGAAGAAAACAUGCAUGGAACGCAUUAAAGAGGAGGCUGCUGCGAAUUUAAUAUGUGCAUGACAUAGGACGGCAUUAAAGAGAAUGGGUUGCUGAUUGCUAUUUUCCAAGCAUCUCCUCGUGAAGUUCAAGGACCAAAGGAGCUGAUGCUUCCUAAUCCCAAAAUGACCGGCCCGUUCUCCAACCAGUUUUAAUGACCAUUCGGUUGAGAGCUUUCACACACUAAGGGCUAUUCAGUUUCGUUCGUUCACAUUGCAUGACUUUUCAAUCUUCUUCCUUCAUACCGAGUGACUAUUGAAGAGUUCCAUGUAGCCUCAUUAUGACCAAGAAUAUUCGGCUGAACCAAGGCAGCUCAAUUACUACAUGCAUUCAUCUUCUCAAAUUCAUUUGCUUAAGCCUUAAGCUGACCAUUGGAGCUCCCUAUUCAGCCAAACUUUAUUAUGACAAUUUAGUGUUUUAUUUCCAGAAUUUUCUAGCCUUUUCUAGCCUAAUUAAUUACUUAGAUAUUAAGUUUUUGCUUAGGUCAUUUGGCUACCUAGCUGAACAUUAUAAAUAGUUUACUUGUUUAUUGUAAAAGGUUACAGAAUUUGAUGAAUUAAACUUAAUAGAACUUUUGUUCUUGUGAGGUUACCUCCUCUCUUCUUUCAUUCGAGUCUCGAAGCGACUUAUCUAGCUUGCUAGUGGCGUCAAUCCGAACUCCAUUGGACUUAUCACCUAACCGGUGUGGUGUUCAACCAUAUUAUUAUACCUUUGGUUCUUACCUCCAUAUAGGUAACGGGUCAAGGUCCGCUUCUAUCCUUCAUCAUAAUUCACCUUAAGUAACAUAAGACUCGGGGCAAUACUUUUUAGUAUUGAAACAUUCUUGAAGCUUGAGUUCAACUUCCAUUCUAUUUUAUCUAUCAACUUAAAAAUUAUUUCUUUGUUAAACCGAACGUAUCAACCAUCAAACCAAGCCCAUCUUUUGAACCCAAACUGCCUGUUUCCGCUUAUACAUCUCCAUAACUCAAUUUUCAUAAGACACCAAAAUGAAAACUUCUCGUCGACGAUCGGGCAACUACGUGGAACGACUCGAUUAACCUGGGCCGGAUCGUAUCAUGGAGCCGCACCAGUCAGACAGAGUGCUACGAAAGUUUGGAUGUAGACAACCGAUUCCCGUAGAUCCUGAGGUGUUUGACACUCUAAAAUGGUUCCCUCUUAAACAGGGAAGGCAUGAAUACAAUAUGUUUUCUUUUCGAGUUAUGAUUGAUUUUCAGGUUCUUGGGAGCAACUUUGUCCCAAUAAUCAGCAAAGGGGGUCGUGACGAAGAAAUAUUUUUCGUGAGCAAGUGGCCCGAUUUGAGGACAAAUCACCUUAAAGAGGGAGGGGAUGAUACGGCCACGCCCCGGGCACACUCUUGGAUUAGCUUCCCAAGUGAGGCUUGUCGUCUUUUGCAAAGCUGAUCUAGAUCAAAUUUAGCUCGUUGAGCUUAAAUCAACUCGAUUCUAGCUCUUUGAGCUUGAUUCCAUCUUUUACUUUACUUGUUUAAUUGCUGGAAUAAUUUCAUGAUUUAAUUAAAUUAGUUAAUUUAGUUUUAGCUCAUAAAUAUGUCUUAAUUUGAACUUAUUUAAUUUUGUGUCUAAAGAAGAGACAAAUAAAAUUAGCUGCUGCUGAAAUUAAUUUGUGUCCUGGUUAUUACAAUUUUAAUAGGCGUUUUUAAUGUGUCUUAGCUUUAGACAUCUUAAUUACAUGUUUGAGUUCAGACCAAUUAAUUAUGCUUAAGCUGCUAUUGACUUGUCCUGCCGAAUCUGUCCAUUUAAGUUGUCUUGUGCAGCCGAAUUUAUUUUGUCUCCAACUAAUAUUUAAGUGCAGAUUAUAAAUGUCUGUAGUUAAUGUUGUGUUUACUACCGAAUUAAUGUGUGUCUAAAUGUUAAAUUAAUGUGCAGCAGAGACAUGUAUUAAAGGGGCUGUUCAAGUGUCUUGUUGUUGAUUUCUAGUCCAGCCGAAAUUAAAAGAGCAAUUUAAUGUGCAGGUACACUCCCUUGGACGGCAUUAAAGGAGGCAUGCUGGCCGAAUUUAAUGUACAGUAAAGACAUGUAUUAAAGGGGUUGUUCCACAUGCAAGGGACGUCCAUUUAAUGAGCUUCUGAAGAAAACAUGCAUGGAACGCAUUAAAGAGGAGGCUGCUGCGAAUUUAAUAUGUGCAUGACAUAGGAAGGCAUUAAAGAGAAUGGGUUGCUGAUUGCUAUUUUCCAAGCAUCUCCUCGUGAAGUUCAAGGACCAAAGGAGCUGAUGCUUCCUAAUCCCAAAAUGACCGGCCCGUUCUCCAACCAGUUUUAAUGACCAUUCGGUUGAGAGCUUUCACACACUAAGGGCUAUUCAGUUUCGUUCGUUCACAUUGCAUGACUUUUCAAUCUUCUUCCUUCAUACCGAGUGACUAUUGAAGAGUUCCAUGCAGCCUCAUUAUGACCAAGAAUAUUCGGCUGAACCAAGGCAGCUCAAUUACUACAUGCAUUCAUCUUCUCAAAUACAUUUGCUUAAGCCUUAAGCUGACCAUUGGAGCUCCCCAUUCAGCCAAACUUUAUUAUGACAAUUUAGUGUUUUCUUUCUAGAAUUUUCUAGCCUUUUUAGCCUAAUUAAUUACUUAGAUAUUAAGUCUUUGCUUAGGCCAUUUGGCUACCUAGCUGAACAUUAAAUAUUUUACUUGUUUAUUGUAAAAGGUUAUAGAAUUUGAUGAAUUAAACUUAAUAGAACUUUUGUUCUUGUGAGGUUACCUCCUCUCUUCUUUCGUUCGAGUCUCGAAGCGACUUAUCUAGCUUACUAGUGGCGUUAAUCCGAACUCUAUUGGACUUAUCAC
RNAcentral lists this long non-coding RNA (3109 nucleotides) under Gossypium barbadense (sea-island cotton). RNAcentral's name for it is "long non-coding RNA (GBAR_LNC020838)". The record is from RNAcentral. Lineage: Eukaryota; Viridiplantae; Streptophyta; Magnoliopsida; Malvales; Malvaceae.